RNAcentral lists this ribosomal RNA (497 nucleotides) under uncultured bacterium. RNAcentral's name for it is "bacterial SSU rRNA". It matches the Rfam family "Bacterial small subunit ribosomal RNA", at positions 29 to 521 of the family's 1533-position model. The record is from RNAcentral.
AUUGAACGCUGGCGGCAUGCUUUACACAUGCAAGUCGAGCGGCAGCGCGGGGCAACCCUGGCGGCGAGCGGCGAACGGGUGAGGAAUACAUCGGAACGUGCCCGAGAGUGGGGGAUAACGCCGCGAAAGCGGCGCUAAUACCGCAUAUUCUCCGAGGAGGAAAGUGGGGGACCGCAAGGCCUCACGCUCACGGAGCGGCCGAUGUCGGAUUAGCUAGUUGGUGGGGUAAAGGCUUACCAAGGCGACGAUCCGUAGCUGGUCUGAGAGGAUGAUCAGCCACACUGGGACUGAGACACGGCCCAGACUCCUACGGGAGGCAGCAGUGGGGAAUUUUGGACAAUGGGGGCAACCCUGAUCCAGCCAUGCCGCGUGCAGGAUGAAGGCCCUCGGGUUGUAAACUGCUUUUGUACGGAACGAAACGGCGCUCUCUAAUACAGGGCGCUAAUGACGGUACCGUAAGAAUAAGCACCGGCUAACUACGUGCCAGCAGCCGCGGU